UAAGUAGGUAGUGAAAGCGUGUGGCUCAACCAUACUCACAUUAUCUAAACUGCUAAGCUAGAAUAUAGAAGAGGUAGCUGGAAUUCCCUGUGUAGGAGUGAAAUCCGUAGAUAUAGGGAGGAACACCAAUGGCGUAGGCAGGCUACUGGUCUAUUAUUGACACUGAGGCACGAAAGCGUGGGGAGCAAACGGGAUUAGAUACCCCGGUAGUCCACGCCGUAAACUAUGGAUGCUA
This 235-nucleotide ribosomal RNA is filed under the name uncultured Candidatus Saccharibacteria bacterium. RNAcentral describes it as "partial 16S ribosomal RNA". It matches the Rfam family "Bacterial small subunit ribosomal RNA", at positions 584 to 818 of the family's 1533-position model. The record is from RNAcentral. Lineage: Bacteria; Candidatus Saccharimonadota.